This 497-nucleotide ribosomal RNA is filed under the name uncultured bacterium. RNAcentral's name for it is "partial 16S ribosomal RNA". It matches the Rfam family "Bacterial small subunit ribosomal RNA", at positions 28 to 507 of the family's 1533-position model. The record is from RNAcentral.
GAUGAACGCUGGCGGUGUGCCUAAUACAUGCAAGUCGAGCGAACAGACGAGGAUCUUGCUCCUCUUACGUUAGCGGCGGACGGGUGAGUAAUACGUGGAUAACCGACCUAUAAGACUGGGAUAACUUCGGGAAACCGGAUCUAAUACCGGAUAAUAUAUUGAACCGCAUGGUUCAAUAGUGAAAGCCGGUUUUGCUGUCACUUAUAGAUGUAUCCGCGCCGCAUUAGCUAGUUGGUAAGGUAACGGCUUACCAAGGCAACGAUGCGUAGCCGACCUGAGAGGGUGAUCGGCCACACUGGAACUGAGACACGGUCCAGACUCCUACGGGAGGCAGCAGUAGGGAAUCUUCCGCAAUGGGCGAAAGCUUGACGGAGCAACGCCGCGUGAGUGAUGAAGGUCUUCGGAUCGUAAAACUCUGUUAUUAGGGAAGAACAAAUGUGUAAGUAACUAUGCACGUCUUGGCGGUACCUAAUCAGAAAGCCACGGCUAACUACGUG